RNAcentral lists this ribosomal RNA (440 nucleotides) under uncultured bacterium. Its description in RNAcentral is "partial 16S ribosomal RNA". It matches the Rfam family "Bacterial small subunit ribosomal RNA", at positions 338 to 795 of the family's 1533-position model. The record is from RNAcentral.
CCUACGGGUGGCAGCAGUGGGGAAUAUUGCUCAAUGGGGGAAACCCUGAUGCAGCGACGCCGCGUGAGCGAAGAAGGAUCUCGGUAUGUAAAGCUCUAUUAGUAGGGAAGAAAAUGACGGUAUCUGACUAAUAAGCACCGGCUAACUACGUGCCAGCAGCCGCGGUACUACGUAGGGGGCAAGCGUUAUCCGGAUUUACUGGGGGUAAAGGGAGCGCAGGCGGGAUGGUAAGGCAGAUGUGAAAGCCCGGGGCUCAACCCCGGGACUGCAGUGGAAACUGUCGUGCUGGAGUGUCGGAGAGGUAGGUGGAAUUCUUGGUGUAGCGGUGAAAUGCGUAGAGAUCAGGAGGAACACCGAUGGCGAAGGCGGCUUGCUGGACGACAACUGACGCUGAGGCUCGAAAGCGUGGGGAGCAAACAGGAUUAGAUACCCGUGUAGUC